RNAcentral lists this ribosomal RNA (852 nucleotides) under Bordetella holmesii 1058. RNAcentral describes it as "partial 16S ribosomal RNA". The record is from RNAcentral. Lineage: Bacteria; Pseudomonadati; Pseudomonadota; Betaproteobacteria; Burkholderiales; Alcaligenaceae.
UGAGUCCGUCCAGGGCGUAGUGCGCUUUCAGGCGGCCAUAAUGCUGGCCACACGCUGUGGAUCAACGGCAAAAAGACGAUUCUGUGUUGAUUCCGUCGGGCAUCAUGCACCCCGGUGUGACCUGCUAUAUCGGCAAACGGCGUCGUGUGCUUUCGCCCGAAUGCGCUGCUCAAGGAAAUCGAAGAGCUCGAAGCCGCCGGUCUGGAUGUCCGUCGCGCCUGCAAUUUCCGAAAUUUGCCCGCUGAUUCCUUCCGUACCAUGUUGGCCCAUCGACAAGGCUAGGGAGGCUCGCAAGGUGCGACGGCAAGAUCGGCACGACUGGUGUCGUGGUAAUCGGCCCGGCUUUACGUAAGACAAGGUGGCCGCCGCCGAGCACCUUGCGCGUACAGGAUCUGUUUACGCCCGAUAAUCUCUCGACGCCAAGCUGGCUGAGGUGCUCGACUUAUCCAACUUCGUACCACCAAGUACCUUGGUGGGCCGAAAGCUCGUGUCCGCCAAUGAGUGGUGGGUAUCAGGGCCAAUGGCCGGCUUGUGCCCGCCCGGCCAUCCAGCCCAUGGUGCUUGAUGAUUGUCUCCAGCAGCCUCUUACUCUGGCCCAGGUAGCAGGUGCCAUUCCUGUUCCGAAGGUGCGCAAGGCGCGUUGCUUGGGAAUGUGGGAUCACGGGCACCUAUCCUACCGUCACAGCAGCAAACUUGUCCUGCAGGCGGGCGGGGCAGGGGGGGGGGGGGGGGGGGUUUUUUUUUCGGCAGGGCCGGUGGUGGCCGCAGGCACUGGGGGGGGGGGGGGGGGGGGCGAACCCUUACGUGCUUCGGUAUCCAACCAAGGCCUACCACCAAGCGCGUGGGCUCGGG